Molecule: small nuclear RNA, 146 nt
Organism: Ochotona princeps (American pika)
Lineage: Eukaryota; Metazoa; Chordata; Mammalia; Lagomorpha; Ochotonidae
Gene: U2
Rfam family: U2 spliceosomal RNA
About the family: U2 is a small nuclear RNA (snRNA) component of the spliceosome (involved in pre-mRNA splicing).
Source: Ensembl
AUCACUUCUCGGCCUUUUGGCUAAGAUCAAGUGUAGUAUCUGUUCUUAUCAGUUUAAAAUGAUGAAUGAUAGACACCAAAAAACAAGAGCACAUACGUAAGUGGCUUCUUUUCGGUGAAGUUCAGGAAGAGAUCCGUUAACCAGCU